CGAUAAUAUUUUCAAAAUAAAGGCUUUCAUGUGGAAAACGGUUUUUAAAGUGAUUUUUUGAUUUUUUGUGGAUUUUCGAAAAAAAAUUAGAAUUUCAAAGUGAAGCCUUCAUGUGGGAGGUGCUUUCAACUAGUAGGAAUGAAUGUGAAUUUGAUAUGGAGUGGUUGCGACUAAGGAUGGCUAGCUGUAUGAUGUGAAAUUAGUGAUCCUUAUACAUUUUGUAUCGUUGUGUGUGUGAGUGGUUGUUUAGUUGUUAAUUGUAUACGUGCUACGCCGUGCAAAUACAAGGGAGAUACUGUCCGUUUGUUUCGGGAAUU
RNAcentral lists this long non-coding RNA (317 nucleotides) under Ananas comosus (pineapple). RNAcentral describes it as "long non-coding RNA (ACOM_LNC035853)". Lineage: Eukaryota; Viridiplantae; Streptophyta; Magnoliopsida; Poales; Bromeliaceae. The record is from RNAcentral.